GUCCACGCCGUAAACGAUGGGUGCUAGGUGUCGCGGGCUUUGACUCCUGCGGUGCCGUAGCCAACGCAUUAAGCACCCCGCCUGGGAAGUACGGCCGCAAGGCUAAAACUCAAAGGAAUUGACGGGGGCCCGCACAAGCGGUGGAGCAUGUGGUUUAAUUCGACGCAACGCGAAGAACCUUACCUGGGCUAGAAAACAUAGGAACCUGGUAGAAGUAUCGGGGUGCUCUUCGGAGAAUCUGUGGUUAGGUGCUGCAUGGCUGUCGU
Molecule: ribosomal RNA, 266 nt
Filed under: uncultured bacterium
Lineage: Bacteria
Description: partial 16S ribosomal RNA
Rfam family: Bacterial small subunit ribosomal RNA
Source: RNAcentral